RNAcentral lists this ribosomal RNA (253 nucleotides) under uncultured bacterium. Its description in RNAcentral is "partial 16S ribosomal RNA". It matches the Rfam family "Bacterial small subunit ribosomal RNA", at positions 524 to 776 of the family's 1533-position model. The record is from RNAcentral.
UACGUAGGGUGCGAGCGUUAAUCGGAAUUACUGGGCGUAAAGUGUGCGCAGGCGGCCGAGCAAGUCGAGUGUGAAAGCCCCGGGCUUAACUUGGGAAUUGCGCUCGAAACUACUUGGCUGGAGUGUGGCAGAGGAAGGUGGAAUUCCUGGUGUAGCGGUGAAAUGCGCAGAUAUCAGGAGGAACACCGGUGGCGAAGGCGGGUCUCUGGGCCGAUAUUGACGCUGAGGAGCGAAAGCGUGGGGAGCGAACAGG